Molecule: long non-coding RNA, 2430 nt
Organism: Nicotiana tabacum (common tobacco)
Lineage: Eukaryota; Viridiplantae; Streptophyta; Magnoliopsida; Solanales; Solanaceae
Source: RefSeq, a predicted model, not a curated record
UUCUUUAUGUUUUGGUGCGGAAACAUGUCUUUCACUUCCAUUGUUCCUACAUUAUUUUGCUGUCACUUUAAUUGCUUCUAAUUUUACUCUUUAUUUUCUUGCUUUCCUUCUUCUUCAUGCUUUCUUCUUCUAUGGAUUUUCCCUAUUCUUCCUUUUGCUGUUUUUUUUCUUUUUCGUUCAUGAAAAACUGCGAGCUCCAGUCCACGGUUCUUUCUAUAUGUUUAUUAUUGGCUGUUACAUAUAAGUAAUUUUUUUAUUUUAAUGUAAGAUUUGAAUUUGUGUUUUAAGAAUUCAAUUUGACCAAACAACUAAAAGGCACAUAGGAUUUUCUGAAGUACAGGAGAAAACAGGUGAAGGCUGCAAAGAACCUGCUUCAUAGUGAUAUGUGGGCUACUCAUAUAAAGAGGUCCUUCAUUUUUUCAAUGACAUGAGAGGAGAUAAAGGUGUUGUUGCUUUCUCUAAACUUAUGAAGCCCUCUCCAAUGUUUGAGGACUUAAGGUCUUAUCUACAAUGAUUGUAAGGUGUAUACUCUCUUUCACAAGCAGUUGGAGUACGUACCACCUUAAUGAAGCUUGAUUGGCAUGACAAGAUGUUCACUGAUGAAGCUGGAAUUGUGUUGAAAAAGUCGUAUCAAGUAUGAAGUAGAUCUUUGCAAUAAGCUGGGAUGAUCCUUUUUGAAACAAUAAUUGGUACUUGAAUUAUAUAAGACUGUACAAAAUUUCGCCUACCAACAGAAUAUGACAAAUAAAAACGACAAAUGUUGUUAUAAGCUUCUCACCUCAAGAACCAUCUCCACAAUCAACAGCAAAAGCUUAAAUGUAAAUGUGAGGUUUCCUUCAAUGUCAUUUCAUUUUGUAUGGAUAAAAUUGCAUAAUGAUUGUCUGGUAUGGGCGAACCCAGAGAAGAGGUGACACCUUAUGCAAUAGAUGUUACCUUUGCCUUUUUUUGCACUGUCCAUUUUUAUCUCAGCUAUCUGGUGUGGUUUUUGAGUGAGUUCAAAUUUAAUUUAGAUGAAUUUGCUUCAUAAUUGCUAUUUUUGCUUCAAAGUGCUAUUUCUUGGUGAAGAUCAAGCAACAAACAACAAAUCAUUUAUUAUGUUUAGUAAUAUAGAGAAGACUUUCCAUAAAAUUCUCAUCUUUGGUAGCUAUCUAUUCUUCAUUGUCAUUUUAUUAAUUAGUACCAGGUACUGCUCACCUGCAAUUCUCAUUUGCUUUUGAAGGAACACAAAUUUGUGUGUUAUCAGUUGUUUAAAAUUGAUUGAAUUUGGUAAAACACAGUUUGAAGCUUGGCUAAAAUAAAAGGAAAAAUUUUCUCAUUUCCCUUUGCUUCUGUUAAUGAUAAAUCAUCCUGCCCUUUUUUAUCAAGUAAACAUAAAUCAUUAUGCUUUUGCUGAUUAAUGGGACAUAUUAGCUUUAACAUGCUUUAUUCUUUCAUCCCUUGCACUCGAACCAGGCACUCCUAACAUGAUUAUGGCACUUGCUUCAAAUUAGGCAAAUAAUUAAAUGCAUUUGAAGUUGUCGCACAAGUUAGUCUAUAUCAUUCUUUUAUUGCAUCAUAAUAUUAUAUUUUGUACAUGCUAAUCUGUAGAAACAUACAAAGAAAUAAGUGGUGGUUGUAUACAGUAGUGAGUUAUUUCAAUUAAAACAGUAUAUUCUCUUUAUAGUUUAUGAUUAGACUGGUAUAAAAAAAAUUUAAUGUAGUAUUCUGAAGUAAGCAACAGCCAUGGGGAAAGUACCAAAUAGCAAUGAAAUGCUUCAUAAAAAAGGUACGUAAACAAAGCUCUAAUUUUAUUAUCAACUGACAAUAAUAUUUUCACACGCUAACAGAAGGAUAUUUACGUUAGAAUAUAAUGCUGAGCAAUAUCUCUUUCUCCAAAGAAAAUUUCUCCAUACAUUAGUAAGGGGCAUAAAUAAUUAAUUUCAAACAUAUGCAUUUCUAGAUUGCUAUGAGUCUUCUCGAAGCUCACAUAAUAAAUAUCUAACUAGCUGGGUAACUCCAAGGAAGAGGUUGUCUUUCCUGUAAAGUAUGAAGGAUAAUUGGAGAAAGAUGGUAUAUGAUGCUUGAUACUUCCGUGCUAAUAGAAUGAGACGGUAGCACAAUAAAUUUCUCCAUUAUAUGUUUAUGUUACAAGGGGGUCCAUAUCAGGAUAGUUUCACUAGCGAGGGUUGAAUAGAUCAUUCCAAGGGAGUGACUGAAAGAAACUUUAGAUGUUACUUAUGACACACACCCACACGCACUUUUACUCUCCUUUUUAGGUCUUCUAUUCGGUUCCUACUUUUUGUUGUUUAUCUUCUAACUCUAAUCAUCCUAAAGCAUUUGCAGUGGCAGGUAAUUUGAGAGUUCAAAAGGAAAAUGAUUUGAGAUGUUCGAAGAUGGACUUCCAUCAAUUUCUCAGGUGCAAUGAUCAGAAAAGUUUUGUUACCUUAACAA